AGCAGCCGCGGUAAUUCCAGCUCCAAUAGCGUAUAUUAAAGUUGUUGCAGUUAAAAAGCUCGUAGUUGAAUUUCGAGACCGGCUUACUGGUCGUGCUAUUGUACGUACUGGUAUAAUCGGUUUCUCCUUUCUGACGAACUAUAAUGCCAUUAAUUUGGUGUUAUAGGGAAUCAGGACUGUUACUUUGAAAAAAUUAGAGUGUUUAAAGCAGGCUCACGCUUGAAUACAUUAGCAUGGAAUAACGGAAUAGGACGUUUGAUUCUAUUUUGUUGGUUUCUAGGAUCGACGUAAUGAUUAAUAGGGAUAGUUGGGGGCAUUAGUAUUCAAUUGUCAGAGGUGAAAUUCUUGGAUUUAUUGAAGACUAACUACUGCGAAAGCAUUUGCCAAGGAUGUUUUCAUUAAUCAAGAACGAAAGUUAGGGGAUCGAAGACGAUCAGAUACCGUCGUAGUCUUAACCAUAAACUAUGCCGACUAGGGAUCGGAUGAUGUUAAUUUUUAAUGUACUCAUUCG
This 511-nucleotide ribosomal RNA is filed under the name uncultured Glomus. RNAcentral's name for it is "SSU rRNA". It matches the Rfam family "Eukaryotic small subunit ribosomal RNA", at positions 569 to 1082 of the family's 1831-position model. The record is from RNAcentral. Lineage: Eukaryota; Fungi; Glomeromycota; Glomeromycetes; Glomerales; Glomeraceae.